GUUUCUGUAGCUUAAUUAAAGCAUAACUCUGAAGAUGUUAAGACAGGCCCCAAUAAAGCCUCAGAGACA
This 69-nucleotide transfer RNA is filed under the name Zenion japonicum (Japanese dory). Its description in RNAcentral is "tRNA-Phe". It matches the Rfam family "tRNA". Rfam says of the family: Transfer RNA (tRNA) molecules are approximately 80 nucleotides in length. Their secondary structure includes four short double-helical elements and three loops (D, anti-codon, and T loops). Lineage: Eukaryota; Metazoa; Chordata; Actinopteri; Zeiformes; Zenionidae. The record is from RNAcentral.